CCUACGGGGGGCUGCAGUGGGGAAUAUUGCACAAUGGGGGAAACCCUGAUGCAGCGACGCCGCGUGAGUGAAGAAGUAUUUCGGUAUGUAAAGCUCUAUCAGCAGGGAAGAAGAAAGACGGUACCUGACUAAGAAGCCCCGGCUAACUACGUGCCAGCAGCCGCGGUAAUACGUAGGGGGCAAGCGUUAUCCGGAUUUACUGGGUGUAAAGGGAGCGUAGGGGGUUGUGCAAGUCUGAAGUGAAAGCCCAGGUAUCAACCCGGGGACUGCUUUGGAAACUGUGGAGCUAGAGUGCUGGAGAGGUAGGGGAAUUUCGGGGUGUAGCGGUGAAAUGCGUAGAUAUUAGGAGGAACACAAGGGGCGAAGGCGGCUUACUGGACAGGAACUGACGCGGAGGCUCGAAAGCGUGGGGAUCAAACAGGAUUAGAUACCCGAGUAGUC
This 441-nucleotide ribosomal RNA is filed under the name uncultured bacterium. Its description in RNAcentral is "partial 16S ribosomal RNA". It matches the Rfam family "Bacterial small subunit ribosomal RNA", at positions 338 to 795 of the family's 1533-position model. The record is from RNAcentral.